CCCUGCCAUUUGUACACACCGCCCGUCGCUCCUACCGAUUUCGAGUGGUCCGGUGAGCCUUUUGGACUUGUGUUUACACAAGGAAAUCAAGCGAACCUUAUCACUUAGAGGAAGGACAAGUCGUAACA
RNAcentral lists this ribosomal RNA (128 nucleotides) under uncultured eukaryote. Its description in RNAcentral is "partial small subunit ribosomal RNA". It matches the Rfam family "Eukaryotic small subunit ribosomal RNA", at positions 1651 to 1796 of the family's 1831-position model. The record is from RNAcentral.